CUGCGUUUUUACUUCCCUUAUUCAUAUACUAUCAAUUCAUAACAGGCUUGAUAUUUUGAAACAGAGUAGCAAAAAUGUUAUCAAUUGAUAGAAAUAUGUUAUAUAGAUACAAUGGGUAAGCGUUGAUUCGUGAAAGAGGAACAUAAGUCCGGAGGGCGAAUUGUUUGUUUUUCAUGUAUCAACUUUUAUUCAUUUAACAAGUUAUCACACAAGGAAGUUAAUAGUUAUACAGUUAAUAAUUCUUUCCAAAAAUUGUGCUGUGG
Molecule: long non-coding RNA, 263 nt
Filed under: Mytilus galloprovincialis (Mediterranean mussel)
Lineage: Eukaryota; Metazoa; Mollusca; Bivalvia; Mytilida; Mytilidae
Source: RNAcentral